Molecule: ribosomal RNA, 425 nt
Filed under: uncultured bacterium
Lineage: Bacteria
Description: bacterial SSU rRNA
Rfam family: Bacterial small subunit ribosomal RNA
Source: RNAcentral
GAAUUUUGGACAAUGGGCGCAAGCCUGAUCCAGCAAUGCCGCGUGCAGGAUGAAGGCCUUCGGGUUGUAAACUGCUUUUGUACGGAACGAAACGGUUCUUUCUAAUACAGAGAGCUAAUGACGGUACCGUAAGAAUAAGCACCGGCUAACUACGUGCCAGCAGCCGCGGUAAUACGUAGGGUGCGAGCGUUAAUCGGAAUUACUGGGCGUAAAGCGUGCGCAGGCGGUGAUGCAAGACAGAUGUGAAAUCCCCGGGCUUAACCUGGGAACUGCAUUUGUGACUGCAUCGCUGGAGUGCGGCAGAGGGGGAUGGAAUUCCGCGUGUAGCAGUAAAAUGCGUAGAUAUGCGGAGGAACACCGAUGGCGAAGGCAAUCCCCUGGGCCUGCACUGACGCUCAUGCACGAAAGCGUGGGGAGCAAACAGG